GUAAACAGCUGGCGGCGUGCAUGAGACAUGCAAGUCGAACGGACGAUGCGGGCUUGCUCGAUCGUUAGUGGCGGACGGCUGAGUAACGCGUAGGUGACCUGCCCCGAAGUGGGGAAUAACUGCCCGAAAGGGUGGCUAAUACCGCAUGUGGUCGCACGUUCGAUCGUGCGAGUAAAGCCGCAAGGCGCUUCGGGAGGGGCCUGCGUCCGAUUAGCUCGUUGGUGGGGUAAUGGCUCACCAAGGCGACGAUCGGUAGGUGGUCUGAGAGGACGAUCACCCAGACUGGGACUGAGACACGGCCCAGACUCCUACGGGAGGCAGCAGUCGGGAAUUUUGCUCAAUGGGGGAAACCCUGAAGCAGCAACGCCGCGUGAGGGAUGAAGGCCUUCGGGUCGUAAACCUCUUUUGCCGGGGAAGAUGAUGACGGUACCCGGUGAAUAAGCCACGGCUAACUACGUGCCAGCAGCCGCGGUAAUACGUAGGUGGCAAGCGUUGUCCGGAUUUACUGGGCGUAAAGAGCGCGCAGGCGGUCGUCCAAGUCGAAUGUGAAAGCCCCCGGCUCAACUGGGGAGGGUCAUUCGAUACUGUUCGACUCGAAGGCAGGAGAGGGAAGUGGAAUUCCGGGUGUAGUGGUGAAAUGCGUAGAUAUCCGGAGGAACACCAGUGGCGAAGGCGACUUUCUGGCCUGUUCUUGACGCUGAGGCGCGAAAGCUAGGGGAGCAAACGGGAUUAGAUACCCCGGUAGUCCUAGCC
Molecule: ribosomal RNA, 753 nt
Filed under: uncultured earthworm cast bacterium
Lineage: Bacteria
Description: bacterial SSU rRNA
Rfam family: Bacterial small subunit ribosomal RNA
Source: RNAcentral